Molecule: ribosomal RNA, 364 nt
Filed under: uncultured bacterium
Lineage: Bacteria
Description: partial 16S ribosomal RNA
Source: RNAcentral
GGGCAUCGCUGCAUCAGAGUUUCCUCCAUUGUGCAAGAUUCCCCACUGCUGCCUCCCGUAGGAGUUUGGGCCGUGUCUCAGUCCCAAUGUGGCUGAUCAUCCUCUCAAAUCAGCUAUUGAUCAUAGUCUUGGUAGGCCAUUACCCUACCAACAAACUAAUCAAGUGCGGGCUCAUCCAAUGGUGCAUAAAGCUUUCUCCGUAAAGACUUAUCCGGUAUUAGCACAAGUUUCCUCGUGUUAUUCCAGGCCAAAGGGUAGAUACCCACAUGUUACUCACCCGUCUGCCACUAAGUAUUGCUACUUCGUUCGACUUGCAUGUGUUAGGCGUGCCGCCAGCGUACGUUCUGAGCCAGGAUCAAACUCU